RNAcentral lists this ribosomal RNA (523 nucleotides) under uncultured bacterium. RNAcentral's name for it is "bacterial SSU rRNA". It matches the Rfam family "Bacterial small subunit ribosomal RNA", at positions 355 to 896 of the family's 1533-position model. The record is from RNAcentral.
UGGGGAAUCUUGCACAAUGGGGGAAACCCUGAUGCAGCGACGCCGCGUGAGCGAUGAAGCCCUUCGGGGUGUAAAGCUCUUUCGUCAGGGAAGAUAGUGACGGUACCUGGAGAAGCAGCUGCGGCUAACUACGUGCCAGCAGCCGCGGUAAUACGUAGGCAGCAAGCGUUGUUCGGAGUUACUGGGCGUAAAGGGUGUGUAGGCGGUUCUUUAAGUUCGCUGUGAAAUCUCCCGGCUUAACCGGGAGGGUGCGGUGAAUACUGAGGGACUAGAGUACGGGAGAGGAAAGUGGAAUUCCUGGUGUAGCGGUGAAAUGCGUAGAUAUCAGGAGGAACACCGGUGGUGUAGACGGCUUUCUGGACCGUAACUGACGCUGAGACACGAAAGCGUGGGUAGCAAACAGGAUUAGAUACCCUGGUAGUCCACGCCCUAAACGAUGCAUAUUUGGUGUGGGCAGUUCAUUCUGUCCGUGCCGGAGCUAACGAGUUAAAUAUGCCGCCUGGGGAGUACAGUCGCAAGGCUG